AGUGAACGCUGGCGGUAGGCCUAACACAUGCAAGUCGAACGGCAGCACAGUAAGAGCUUGCUCUUACGGGUGGCGAGUGGCGGACGGGUGAGGAAUACAUCGGAAUCUACUUUUUCGUGGGGGAUAACGUAGGGAAACUUACGCUAAUACCGCAUACAACCUACGGGUGAAAGCAGGGGAUCUUCGGACCUUGCGCGAUUGAAUGAGCCGAUGUCGGAUUAGCUAGUUGGUGGGGUAAAGGCCCACCAAGGCGACGAUCCGUAGCUGGUCUGAGAGGAUGAUCAGCCACACUGGAACUGAGACACGGUCCAGACUCCUACGGGAGGCAGCAGUGGGGAAUAUUGGACAAUGGGCGCAAGCCUGAUCCAGCCAUACCGCGUGGGUGAAGAAGGCCUUCGGGUUGUAAAGCCCUUUUGUUGGGAAAGAAAGGCAGCAGGUUAAUACCCCGCUGUUCUGACGGUACCCAAAGAAUAAGCACCGGCUAACUUCGUG
This 492-nucleotide ribosomal RNA is filed under the name uncultured bacterium. RNAcentral describes it as "partial 16S ribosomal RNA". It matches the Rfam family "Bacterial small subunit ribosomal RNA", at positions 29 to 507 of the family's 1533-position model. The record is from RNAcentral.